CACAGUGAUUUCACCAAUGUGCUCUCCCAC
Molecule: non-coding RNA, 30 nt
Filed under: Homo sapiens (human)
Lineage: Eukaryota; Metazoa; Chordata; Mammalia; Primates; Hominidae
Source: RNAcentral